AGCCCGGGGGGGGGGAGGGAAGGGAGACCUGGAGGUGGGCUUGGGGUUUAUAGGGCCAGGUGUGUGAGGAAAGGCAGGGCUGUAAGGGGUAGGUGUGUGAGGAGGCGGCUCUGGGCUACUGUGGGGGGGGCAGGUGUAUGUGUGAGUAAAGGCAGGCCUGUAAGGAGUCAGGUGUGGGGAGGGAUCAGGCUUAUGGGCCCAGCUGUGUGUGAGGAAAGGCAGCCUGCGUACAGGUGUGUGUGUGAGCUUCAGGCCUAUAGGGGGACUGAGUGUGUGUGGAGGUGGUUUUAUGCCUACCACAGGUUCGGGUGUGCAAGAGGAGUUUUCAGGGCCCAUCACAGAGUGGCUCUGGGGCUUGCAGCAGCUGCUGGCGUGUGGCAAAGCCUUGGUAAGGAUGGGCUCCAUCAGGAGGGGAGGGCUGUGGGGCUGAAGGACUGCCCAGCCUGAGGAGGGAAAGGUCUUGGAGGAGAAGAAGCUUUAGUGGUGGCUGAAAGGCCUGGGUUAGGAUGACUGCAGAACAGAGAGAUGGGGUAAGGUGAUACAACGCUGUUCCUGCCACGCUUUGCAGUUUCCUAUAUAGAGGCAAACAUUCCUUUAUAAAUACAGGACCUACCCUGGUUUGUCCAUUGAUUUCUGAGCGUGUUGCUGUCAGACAAAGCUGAAGGCCCAGAACUGUGCGUUAUGCGCAUGUCUCAUGCAGCCUUGUGCUGGUGUGUCUCUGCUGGUUGUGCUGCUGGGCUGCCUUCCAGGGCCCUCGUGGUGCAGCUGUUUCAAACUAAAGGUGUGGAAACUUGAAAAAAACGCGUCUCAGGCAAUGGCAGCUGUGUUCUGUUCUACAAAGGUCAAUAUUACAGGUUUUUUGCUUAUUUAUCUAUUUCAUAUAAAAAACAUGUUGUUGUGCUCUCUGUUUACAAAGACUGAACUUUGUAGCUUUUUUUCCUCUGUUUCUUACAAAUGGAAAGAAAAACACAAAGAGCAGGACUUCUGUGUCAGCUGCUUUGCAAAUAGCUGAUGCUGACAAAGCAGGAUGCAGAAACCUUUCUUCAGACUGAGUGAAUGUAUGUCAAACGCUGUGUGAAGAUGGGGAAGUGAUUUGGGCAGUCCAAGCGUGGCCCCAGCGGUGCAGCUCCUGGGAUGCAGCAGCGGCCACCGCACCCUUUCCUGUUCACCCUGCAACCCUGUCAGCUCUUCUGCAUCAGCCAGAGCCCCACGGAAGGAUUGCUUGUCCACAUGCAGAUGGCUCUGGCACCGAUGUGAUUGGCAGCAAGAGGUGCUGAGCGGCUCCAACACUUACUGGUGUGCCAAGUUGAGUGCCCCCCAAAGGGAUGUUGAGAUCUAGGAGCUGCUUGCAGUUGCGUUGAUGUUUAGCCACGUCUCAGCCUCAUCUCCUGUAAGAGGCAAUAUUUACUUAUGUAAAAAGGUUUAAUACAUGCUUUGUGUGGGUAUUCCAAGUUAAAAAUUGUCAGUCAGUGCAAACAGAUAUUGGAUAAACUACUGAAAAGCAAAGUGCACGAGCUGUCCGACUGCAGUUCUUUUCAGAACAGGGUAUGUCCUGGUGCCCCCUGGAUUAACUAGUUUUAAACAGCACUGCAGUCAUCUUGAGUUUAGUCCUUCCUUAGAUAAAACCGAUUCUGUUUUA
This is a non-coding RNA of Meleagris gallopavo (turkey), 1639 nucleotides long. The record is from RefSeq and is a predicted model, not a curated record. Lineage: Eukaryota; Metazoa; Chordata; Aves; Galliformes; Phasianidae.